AUACUCUGGUUUCUCUUCAGAUUGUAUAAAUCUUUUGCCUUUUACUAAAGAUUCCCAUGGAAAGGAACAUUUAUGUCUCAGAGUUCAAUAUUAUAAACAUCUACUUUCUCUAUGCU
RNAcentral lists this small nuclear RNA (116 nucleotides) under Pelusios castaneus (West African mud turtle). RNAcentral's name for it is "U5 spliceosomal RNA (ENSPCEG00000013102.1)". It matches the Rfam family "U5 spliceosomal RNA". From Rfam's summary of the family: U5 RNA is a component of both types of known spliceosome. The precise function of this molecule is unknown, though it is known that the 5' loop is required for splice site selection and p220 binding, and that both the 3' stem-loop and the Sm site are important for Sm protein binding and cap methylation. Lineage: Eukaryota; Metazoa; Chordata; Testudines; Pelomedusidae. The record is from Rfam by way of RNAcentral.